GUUUGACUGGGGCGGUCUCCUCCUAAAGAGUAACGGAGGAGCACGAAGGUUGGCUAAUCCUGGUCGGACAUCAGGAGGUUAGUGCAAUGGCAUAAGCCAGCUUGACUGCGAGCGUGACGGCGCGAGCAGGUGCGAAAGCAGGUCAUAGUGAUCCGGUGGUUCUGAAUGGAAGGGCCAUCGCUCAACGGAUAAAAGGUACUCCGGGGAUAACAGGCUGAUACCGCCCAAGAGUUCAUAUCGACGGCGGUGUUUGGCACCUCGAUGUCGGCUCAUCACAUCCUGGGGCUGAAGUAGGUCCCAAGGGUAUGGCUGUUCGCCAUUUAAAGUGGUACGCGAGCUGGGUUUAGAACGUCGUGAGACAGUUCGGUCCCUAUCUGCCGUGGGCGCUGGAGAACUGAGGGGGGCUGCUCCUAGUACGAGAGGACCGGAGUGGACGCAUCACUGGUGUUCGGGUUGUCAUGCCAAUGGCACUGCCCGGUAGCUAAAUGCGGAAGAGAUAAGUGCUGAAAGCAUCUAAGCACGAAACUUGCCCCGAGAUGAGUUCUCCCUGAGACUUAGAGUCUCCUGAAGGAACGUUGAAGACGACGACGUUGAUAGGCCGGGUGUGUAAGCGCAGCGAUGCGUUGAGCUAACCGGUACUAAUGAACCGUGAGGCUUAACCUUACAACGCCGAAG
This 675-nucleotide ribosomal RNA is filed under the name Salmonella enterica subsp. enterica serovar Senftenberg. RNAcentral describes it as "partial 23S ribosomal RNA". It matches the Rfam family "Bacterial large subunit ribosomal RNA", at positions 2268 to 2925 of the family's 2925-position model. Lineage: Bacteria; Pseudomonadati; Pseudomonadota; Gammaproteobacteria; Enterobacterales; Enterobacteriaceae. The record is from RNAcentral.